RNAcentral lists this long non-coding RNA (1083 nucleotides) under Phasianus colchicus (ring-necked pheasant). RNAcentral's name for it is "lncRNA (ENSPCLG00000019112.1)". Lineage: Eukaryota; Metazoa; Chordata; Aves; Galliformes; Phasianidae. The record is from RNAcentral.
CCCAAUAAAAUGCACUGGGGGGGCGGGGGGGGGCAACAGUGUGCAGUGCAAAGCAAAGCAAAGCAGAGCAAAGCAGAGCAGUGCAGUGCAAAGCAAAGCAGAGCAGAGCAGUGCAGUGCAAAGCAGUGCAAAGCAAAGCAAAGCAAUGCAAUGCAAUGCAAUGCAAAGCAAAGCAGAGCAAAGCAGAGCAGUGCAGUGCAAAGCAAAGCAAAAGCAAUGCAGAGCAAAGCAGUGCAAAGCAAAGCAGUGCAAAGCAAAGCAAAGCAAUGCAAUGCAGAGCAAAGCAGUGCAAAGCAAAGCAAAGCAAAGCAAUGCAAUGCAAUGCAAUGCAGAGCAAAGCAGAGCAAUGCAAAGCAAAGCAAUGAGCAAUGCAAAGCAGAGCAGUGCAAUGCAGUGCAAUACAAAGCAGUGCAAAGCAAAGCCAUGCAAUGCAGAGCAAAAGCAAUGCAGAGCAAAAGAAACGGAGAGCAAAAGCAACGGAGAGCAAAAGCAAUGCAGAGCAGUGCAAUGCGAUGGAGCUCGGUGCAAAGCAAAGCAAAGCAAAGCAAAGCAAAGCAGUGUCAGUGCAAUGCAACGCAAUGCAACGCAAUGCAAAGCAAUGCAAUGCAAUGCAAAGGAGCUCUGUGCAAAGCAACAAAGUUUCAGUGCAACGCAAAGUGAAGCAAAGCAAAGCAAAGCAGUGUCAGUGCAAUGCAACGCAAUGCAAAGCAAAGCAAUGGAGCUCUAUGCAAUGCAAUGCAAAGCAAAGCAAAGCAAAGCAAUGCAAUGCAAAGGAGCUCUGUGCAAAGCAACAAAGCGUCAGUGCAACACAAAGUGCAGCAAAGCAAAGCAAAGCAAUGCAGUGUCAGUGCAAUGCAACGCAAAGCAAUGCAAUGCAAUGCAAAGCAAAGCAAAGCAAUGCAGUGUCAGUGCAAUGCAAAGCAAUGCAAAGCAAAGCAAAGCAAAGCAAUGCAAAGCAAUGGAGUGUCAGUGCAAUGCAAAGCAAUGCAAAGCAAAGCAAAGCAAAGCAAUGCAAAGCAAAGCAAUGGAGUGUCAGUGCAACGCAAUGCAAUGGAGCUCCGUGCAAAGCAAUGCAAUGCAAUG